This 376-nucleotide ribosomal RNA is filed under the name uncultured bacterium. RNAcentral describes it as "bacterial SSU rRNA". It matches the Rfam family "Bacterial small subunit ribosomal RNA", at positions 524 to 898 of the family's 1533-position model. The record is from RNAcentral.
CACGUAGGAGCCAAGCGUUAUCCGAAUUCACUGGGCGUAAAGCGCGUGUAGGCGGCUUGGUAAGUUGGAUGUGAAAGCUCCUGGCUCAACUGGGAGAGGACGUUCAAUACUGCCGGGCUAGAGGGCGACAGAGGGAGGUGGAAUUCCCGGUGUAGUGGUGAAAUGCGUAGAUAUCGGGAGGAACACCAGUGGCGAAAGCGGCCUCCUGGGUCGCACCUGACGCUCAGACGCGAAAGCUAGGGGAGCGAACGGGAUUAGAAACCCCGGUAGUCCUAGCCGUAAACGAUGUAGACUUGGUGUCGGUGGGGUAAAAGCCAUCGGUGCCGAAGCUAACGCGAUAAGUCUACCGCCUGGGGACUACGGCCGCAAGGUUAAA